RNAcentral lists this ribosomal RNA (301 nucleotides) under uncultured bacterium. Its description in RNAcentral is "partial 16S ribosomal RNA". It matches the Rfam family "Bacterial small subunit ribosomal RNA", at positions 509 to 807 of the family's 1533-position model. The record is from RNAcentral.
CAGCCGCCGCGGGAAUACGUAGGGUGCAAGCGUUAAUCGGAAUUACUGGGCGUAAAGCGUGCGCAGGCGGUUUUGUAAGACAGGCGUGAAAUCCCCGGGCUCAACCUGGGAAUGGCGCUUGUGACUGCAAAGCUAGAGUGCGGCAGAGGGGGAUGGAAUUCCGCGUGUAGCAGUGAAAUGCGUAGAUAUGCGGAGGAACACCGAUGGCGAAGGCAAUCCCCUGGGCCUGCACUGACGCUCAUGCACGGAAGCGUGGGGAGCAAACAGGAUUAGAUACCCGGGUAGUCCCUGUCUCUUAUAC